AUUGAACGCUGGCGGCAUGCUUUACACAUGCAAGUCGAACGGUAACAGGCCGCAAGGUGCUGACGAGUGGCGAACGGGUGAGUAAUGCAUCGGAACGUGCCCAGUCGUGGGGGAUAACGCAGCGAAAGCUGUGCUAAUACCGCAUACGAUCUAUGGAUGAAAGCGGGGGACCGUAAGGCCUCGCGCGAUUGGAGCGGCCGAUGUCAGAUUAGGUAGUUGGUGGGGUAAAGGCUCACCAAGCCAACGAUCUGUAGCUGGUCUGGGAGGACGACCAGCCACACUGGGACUGAGACACGGCCCAGACUCCUACGGGAGGCAGCAGGGGGGAAUUUUGGACAAUGGGCGCAAGCCUGAUCCAGCCAUUCCGCGCGCAGGAUGAAGGCCCUCGGGUUGUAAACUGCUUUUGUACGGAACGAAAAGGUUUCCAUUAAUACUGGGAGCUCAUGACGGUACCGUAAGAAUAAGCACCGGCUAACUACGUGCCAGCCGCCGCAGUAA
RNAcentral lists this ribosomal RNA (498 nucleotides) under uncultured bacterium. Its description in RNAcentral is "partial 16S ribosomal RNA". It matches the Rfam family "Bacterial small subunit ribosomal RNA", at positions 30 to 523 of the family's 1533-position model. The record is from RNAcentral.